Molecule: non-coding RNA, 28 nt
Filed under: Bombyx mori (domestic silkworm)
Lineage: Eukaryota; Metazoa; Arthropoda; Insecta; Lepidoptera; Bombycidae
Source: RNAcentral
UUCAAUCUGCCAAAGCGAUCAGUUUGCA